RNAcentral lists this ribosomal RNA (497 nucleotides) under uncultured bacterium. RNAcentral describes it as "partial 16S ribosomal RNA". It matches the Rfam family "Bacterial small subunit ribosomal RNA", at positions 28 to 507 of the family's 1533-position model. The record is from RNAcentral.
GAUGAACGCUGGCGGCGUGCCUAAUACAUGCAAGUCGAGCGAACAGACGAGGAGCUUGCUCCUCUGACGUUAGCGGCGGACGGGUGAGUAACACGUGGAUAACCUACCUAUAAGACUGGGAUAACUUCGGGAAACCGGAGCUAAUACCGGAUAAUAUAUUGAACCGCAUGGUUCAAUAGUGAAAGACGGCUUUGCUGUCACUUCUAGAUGGAUCCGCGCCGCAUUAGCUAGUUGGUAGGGUAACGGCUUACCACGGCAACGAUGCGUAGCCGACCUGAGAGAGUGAUCGGCCACACUGGAACGUAGACACGGUCCAGACUCCUACGGGAGGCAGCAGUAGGGAAUCUGCCGCAAUGGGCGAAAGCCUGACGGAGCAACGCCGCGUGAGUGAUGAAGGUCUUCGGAUCGUAAAACUCUGUUAUUAGGGAAGAACAAAUGUGUAAGUAACUAUGCACGGCUUGACGGUACCUAAUCAGAAAGCCACGGCUAACUACGUG